CCUACGGGUGGCAGCAGUGGGGAAUAUUGGGCAAUGGGCGCAAGCCUGAACCAGCAACGCCGCGUGAAGGAAGAAGGCUUUCGGGUUGUAAACUUCUUUUAAGAGGGAAGAGCAGAAGACGGUACCUCUUGAAUAAGCCACGGCUAACUACGUGCCAGCAGCCGAGGUAAUACGGAGGUCGCAAGCGUUAUCCGGAUUUACUGGGUGUAAAGGGAGUGCAGCCGGGAAGACAAGUCAGAUGUGAAAGCCCGCGGCGCAACCGCGGAACUGCAUUUGAAACUGUCUGUCUUGAGUACCGGAGAGGUAGGCGGAAUUCCUUGUGUAGUGGUGAAAUGCGUAGAUAUAAGGAAGAACACCAGUGGCGAAGGCGGAUGACUGGACGGCAACUGACGGUGAGGCGCGAAAGCGUGGGGAGCAAACAGGAUUAGAUACCCUAGUAGUC
RNAcentral lists this ribosomal RNA (442 nucleotides) under uncultured bacterium. Its description in RNAcentral is "partial 16S ribosomal RNA". It matches the Rfam family "Bacterial small subunit ribosomal RNA", at positions 338 to 795 of the family's 1533-position model. The record is from RNAcentral.